This 74-nucleotide transfer RNA is filed under the name Phycisphaerae bacterium. RNAcentral's name for it is "tRNA-Val". It matches the Rfam family "tRNA". From Rfam's summary of the family: Transfer RNA (tRNA) molecules are approximately 80 nucleotides in length. Their secondary structure includes four short double-helical elements and three loops (D, anti-codon, and T loops). Lineage: Bacteria; Pseudomonadati; Planctomycetota; Phycisphaerae. The record is from RNAcentral.
GGGCGUUUAGCUCAGUUGGCUAGAGCGCAUCCUUGACGUGGAUGAGGUCAUAAGUUCGAGUCUUAUAACGCCCA